GCGAAGAACCUUACCUGGGUUUGACAUGCAGCUGCACGGCCCGUGAAAGCGGGCCUCCUCCGAGGGUGCUGCACAGGUGCUGCAUGGUUGUCGUCAGCUCGUGUCGUGAGGUGUUGGGUUAAGUCCCGCAACGAGCGCAACCCUUGUCCUUUGUUGCCAGCGGGUAAAGCCGGGAACUCAAAGGAGACUGCCAGUGACAAACUGGAGGAAGGCAGGGAUGACGUCAAGUCAUCAUGCCCCUUAUGUCCUGGGCUACACACGUACUACAAUGGCCGUUAACAGAGGGAAGCAAAGCCGCGAGGUGGAGCAAACCCCUAAAAACGGUCCCAGUUCAGAUUGUAGGCUGCAACUCGCCUAUAUGAAGUUGGAAUUGCUAGUAAUCGCGGAUCAGCAUGCCGCGGUGAAUACGUUCCCGGGUCUUGUACACACCGA
This 432-nucleotide ribosomal RNA is filed under the name uncultured rumen bacterium. Its description in RNAcentral is "bacterial SSU rRNA". It matches the Rfam family "Bacterial small subunit ribosomal RNA", at positions 961 to 1393 of the family's 1533-position model. The record is from RNAcentral.